UUUAAUGACAAGUCCAUAACCUUACUGUUCAAAACUUACCUGAGUGGUAGGUUAUGCCAAACAUUUAUUAUAGAAUCUCAUAGAAUUGCACAUUUAAAGUCUCUAUUCUUUAUACAUAUCAGAGUCUUGGAUAGUUGGAAAGAAAUUGAAGGAAAAAUAAUGCAUUGGAUUGGAAAUAUUACUGUUAAUGAUGGUUGAUUAUUAUGUGCAAAACUUGUUUACAGCUUAGAGUACAUUUUGAUUUCAAUUUCACCAGAUUAUUAUUGAUUUCCCCCCUUAUUUUCUAUUUUAGAAAUCUUGCACCAAUAAUUAAGUUUUGGUUCAGCACAUGGUGGAAGGAAAGGUAUCUUGCUGUGGCCUUUACCAAAUUCAAGCUAUGGACUUAAACUUGAUCACAUAUUCUUCUAUUGGGUCAUAAGCCCUACUGAGGGUGAAAUACAAUUUUUCUCAGUUAAUUACACAAUAUGCUUGACUAUAGGGAAAAAAUUCCUGAAAAAGAAAACUUGAAAAAAAUUGUAAAAUAAGGGAAUAAUUUGGAAGGCAUUGCAGGAGUAGAUGGAUAAGAGUGAAAAGUUAAUUGAAACUCUUGAGGAAAUAAGAAUCAGAAAAAUGAUGCCGUUUAAAAAAAAAAACAACUAAUGUGUAGAUGUUUAGACUUCAGCUUGGGCUUUCUGCAGUUUUAUUAUCUGUUCAGCAGAUAGUUAUUUAAUUAUUUCAGUUGAUCUUUCUUUUAAUAAAGGAAGCAUGUAACUCAGAGUAAAAUAAAAUAACUCCAGGUUAGAACUAGAGCAAUUUGACCACCAUCUGGAAGAGUGACCUGGUUGAUGACCUUUCACAAUUCCACUUUACUGUCCUCCAUGUUCUUUGAUGUGGAGCUAGAAUCUCUCACCAGGAAGUAAUUUAUAUGCAGAAAAAUGAUAUCAACAUAGCUCUAGGGAACCAUCUUCCUUUAUUUAUUAACUGCAUGUUUCUUUAAUGGGAAUUUCAAUAAAAAUAAGCAUUCAAUAUUUAAAUAUUUAGUUUCUAAGUAAUUUUUGAGAUGCAUAUUUCAACUUUUACAUUCUUAGCAGGAUUUUUUUUAAGAGUGCCAGACUUAGCUUUUAAUUUUAGUUAUUAAAGCUUUAUUGAGAUCUUUAUUUAAAUAAAGUACUUUGUAAUAUUUCUCUAGUGUGUAUUUUGAAUAUAUAUUCAUUUCUCAUAAUAUUAUUACUUCAAAAAAGUCAUGUGGGACUUGUUAGACUUUUUUAUAUAAG
This 1253-nucleotide long non-coding RNA is filed under the name Canis lupus familiaris (dog). Its description in RNAcentral is "lncRNA (ENSCAFG00040010428.1)". Lineage: Eukaryota; Metazoa; Chordata; Mammalia; Carnivora; Canidae. The record is from RNAcentral.